This 244-nucleotide ribosomal RNA is filed under the name uncultured Bacteroidota bacterium. RNAcentral's name for it is "uncultured Bacteroidetes bacterium partial 16S ribosomal RNA". It matches the Rfam family "Bacterial small subunit ribosomal RNA", at positions 796 to 1041 of the family's 1533-position model. Lineage: Bacteria; Pseudomonadati; Bacteroidota. The record is from RNAcentral.
CACGCCCUAAACUAUGAUUACUCGUUGUUAGCUCAAUUGGGAGUUAGUGGCUAAGGGAAACCUAUAAGUAAUCCACCUGGGGAGUACGAUCGCAAGGUUGAAACUCAAAGGAAUUGACGGGGGCCCGCACAAGCGGAGGAGCAUGUGGUUUAAUUCGAUGAUACGCGAGGAACCUUACCUGGGCUCGAACGGUUAAAGACUUAAUGUGAAAGCAUUAUUCUAUUUAUAGCUUUAAUCGAGGUGC